RNAcentral lists this ribosomal RNA (492 nucleotides) under uncultured bacterium. Its description in RNAcentral is "partial 16S ribosomal RNA". It matches the Rfam family "Bacterial small subunit ribosomal RNA", at positions 29 to 507 of the family's 1533-position model. The record is from RNAcentral.
AGUGAACGCUGGCGGUAGGCCUAACACAUGCAAGUCGAACGGCAGCACAGUAAGAGCUUGCUCUUACGGGUGGCGAGUGGCGGACGGGUGAGGAAUACAUCGGAAUCUACUUUUUCGUGGGGGAUAACGUUGGGAAACUUACGCUAAUACCGCAUACGACCUACGGGUGAAAGCAGGGGAUCUUCGGACCUUGCGCGAUUGAAUGAGCCGAUGUCGGAUUAGCUAGUUGGCGGGGUAAAGGCCCACCAAGGCGACGAUCCGUAGCUGGUCUGAGAGGAUGAUCAGCCACACUGGAACUGAGACACGGUCCAGACUCCUAAGGGAGGCAGCAGUGGGGAAUAUUGGACAAUGGGCGCAAGCCUGAACCAGCCAUACCGCGUGGGUGAAGAAGGCAUUCGGGUUGUAAAGCCCUUUUGUUGGGGAAGAAAAGCAGCAGGUUAAUACCCCGCUGUUCUGACGGUACCCAAAGAAUAAGCACCGGCUAACUUCGUG